This 589-nucleotide ribosomal RNA is filed under the name uncultured bacterium. Its description in RNAcentral is "bacterial SSU rRNA". It matches the Rfam family "Bacterial small subunit ribosomal RNA", at positions 337 to 917 of the family's 1533-position model. The record is from RNAcentral.
UCCUACGGGAGGCAGCAGUGGGGAAUAUUGCACAAUGGGCGCAAGUCUGAUGCAGCCAUGCCGCGUGUGUGAAGAAGGCCUUCGGGUUGUAAAGCACUUUCAGUCGUGAGGAAGGUGGUGUAGUUAAUAGCUGCAUUAUUUGACGUUAGCGACAGAAGAAGCACCGGCUAACUCCGUGCCAGCAGCCGCGGUAAUACGGAGGGUGCGAGCGUUAAUCGGAAUUACUGGGCGUAAAGCGCAUGCAGGUGGUUUGUUAAGCUAGAUGUGAAAGCCCACGGCUCAACCGUGGAGGGUCAUUGGAAACUGGGAGACUUGAGUGCAGAAGAGGAAAGUGGAAUUCCAUGUGUAGCGGUGAAAUGCGUAGAGAUAUGGAGGAACACCAGUGGCGAAGGCGACUUUCUGGUCUGUAACUGACACUGAGGCGCGAAAGCGUGGGGAGCAAACAGGAUUAGAUACCCUGGUAGUCCACGCCGUAAACGAUGAGUGCUAAGUGUUAGAGGGUUUCCGCCCUUUAGUGCUGAAGUUAACGCAUUAAGCACUCCGCCUGGGGAGUACGGCCGCAAGGCGGAAACUCAAAUGAAUUGACGGA